GGUGGGUACAGCUCAGUGGUAGAGUGCAUGCUUAGCAUGCAUGAGGUCCUGGGUUCGAUCCCCAGUACCUCCA
RNAcentral lists this transfer RNA (73 nucleotides) under Vicugna pacos (alpaca). RNAcentral's name for it is "tRNA-Ala (AGC) (tRNA-Ala-AGC-406-1)". It matches the Rfam family "tRNA". Rfam says of the family: Transfer RNA (tRNA) molecules are approximately 80 nucleotides in length. Lineage: Eukaryota; Metazoa; Chordata; Mammalia; Artiodactyla; Camelidae. The record is from RNAcentral.